AGGUGCUAGCAGCCUGGGUGUCUGGUGAGAACCCUCUUCUUGGUACAUAGAUGGCCGUCUUCUCACUGUGUCCUUGCAUGGUGAAAGGGACUGUGGGGUGUCUUUCAUAAGGAUGUUAAUCCUACUCAUGAGGGCUCCAUUCAUGACCUAAUCACCUCCCCAAGGGCCCACCUCCAAACACCAUGACAUUAGGGAUUAAGUUUCAAUAUAUAGAUUUUUGGGGGACUCAUUCAGUCUAUAGCACCCUCAAAUUCCUGGGUAAGUUGUCAGGGUAGAAAUGAGAUUUAGGGCUGGGGCUGCAGAGCUCCUAAGUUCAGGAUUUGGGACAGCACAGAGCAGGGCCAGAGGAGUCCAGUCUGAGGAUCCGGGUGCUAGUGUCACCAGAGAGGAAAGGGAUGGGAUCCCCAGAGUCCUUGGCCAGUGAGCUGCAGAAGGUAUACUGGCCACUACUGGAAAUGGGUAGUUGGUUGCCUGGGUCCUUUUGUUGAGAUCCUUGUAGCCCCACCACAUGUUCAUCAGCUGGUGCUCAGGGGCCCCUUGGCCUGGUUCUCAAAGAGGAGGAAGGGACAACUGGAGGCUGGAACCACUGGCUGCUCUGGGCUGGGUUCAGACGUGGCUGUGAUGUCCUAGCGCAGGGAGUGAGAGCCUGGAAAUUCUGGGAAUUUGGGAUCAGGGCUGGUCCCUACAAGGGCAGCACAGGCACUUGCCCUUUGCUCUCUAUGGUCCAGUACUCAGAAAACCCUCUCCAAACACAACCGCACAGGUGUCCCCUAGGCCAUUCCGUCCCAUGCCCCUCCCUUCCCUGGCUCCUUCUUCUCCCCUCCUUGUAACCUCUCCUCCUCUGAUGUCCUUAUUUCUGCACUGUCCUCAGUUCCCCAGGAACAUCCUCUCCUUUUUAGACCUAACGCUGUGGGGGCUUUUCUCCCCGACCCCCAUCCCAUAUCGUGAGACUCACUGGACAGAGUCCAGCUCCAGAGGCAGCAGCAGGAACAAGUCAUAAGGACUCAGGGGUCCUGGAUCCCAUCCUGGGAGACUGAGGGCACCCAGCUUGUUUUGGAGGAUUAUUCUGCACCUGGGAACCAGCUGUUAUGGCCUGGAGACCUCCCUGUGCCCUGAGGCAGAGUCUACGGUGACUCAAUGGGGAGGAAAUAUCUAUGUCACUGUGGAUUUUGGGAAAAACUUCACAGCCUGAACCUGACGCAGGACAGAGGCAUCCCCUUGUGUGCAGAGCCCAGUCCUGCUACUGGGGGCCCAGAGAGACCCUGCAGAGGUCCUGGAUGAGCAGGAGAAAAGGGAGCUGGGUAUUCUGUUCUCAGCACUGUGGCCACACACAGGGGCACCACUGCUUUGCUCUCAGAUUGUGACUGACCUGCCUGGGAGGGUCUGGGCUCUAAGUUGGUCAGAAGUGGAUGACCUGGAGGCUGGGCAUCAAUGGGGGGAAGAAGCUUCUGAGCAGCCCUGGACUCCACAGGUGUCAAGGUCAGGGGUGGAACAGGGACUGAAGGAGAAGAGAGCUCAGGAGCCCUGUGCCGGCUCUGAGGUUCCCAUCUCCUCCCUGUGACCCCUCUCCAGCCUUUGACGACCACACCCGGGAAACUGAAAAGUACAAACAUUUUCUUCUACUCUAUUUCUUUUCAGUACUCCUCCUUGAUGUAGCAACAAUAACAAUAUUUGCAUAAAUUUUUCUCAGGAGGAUACAUGGGAAAUUGGUAACAUGCUCAUUUCUGGCAGGGGACCUGAGGGGAGAGUGGGGAGGGAGGAAAAUUUCCCACCGUAAACCCUUUGGAAUGUCUUGAAUGAUCUUUUCAAAAUAUGUUACACUAAGAAUCUCUUUCAUUUGCAGGACACUUUCCAGUUAACACCCAGUUUACACAGAUGCAGCCGUGUGAUGGGCCUGUUCCCACCUACAAACACUGGUUCUUUACCCACCACACAAGAGGGGCCAAAGAAAAACUGAAACGCCAGGCUUAUGGCAAGGAAAGGGCUUUUAUUUCAGGUGACAUCAGCCGGGAGACGAGAGUGAGCCCUCAAAUUUGUCUUGUUUUGUCUCAUCUUCCAAAAAGAGGGAAGGUGAGGGGUUUCCAAGGUCUGUGAGGAAUGUGGCUGCUUGUAAACAGGCAGGGGGAGUCAGUGGGCUUGCUGGUAGGAGCUUUCCCACCAGCCUCCAUUAGGCCUCGGGAGCUGCUUGCAGGGAGGAGGAGGAGGUGACAAGGAAUCCAGGUGGACGACCGUGGCUGUUUGUCUCCAUGACAGAUAGUGGAUUCUGGAGCCAGGGAGCCAGGGAGUAAGCAGGGAAAGAGUGCUUUGGUUUUAAUCCCAUGUAUGCUGCAUUUAAUGUAGGGGAACUGAUAUCAGGGCCGGCAUGAGGCCGAGAUGCAGGCCCUCCACUGUGUGGUUCCUCCGGUAUGCCCAGGGUGUUCACACUCAGAGCCUUCACUGUUGUUCCCCAGCCUGAUAAUGUGUCUGCGAGGCAGCUCUUCCCUCCCUGAACAUUCUCUCCAAAGGUCCUCACUGAGAGGCUCCUGCUGCACCCCUGCACGUGGCACCUUCAGCCUCCCCCCCACCCCUGCCCUGCUUUGCCUUUGUUCACACCCUGUUCACUAAUGCACAUUUUUACAUGUGCUUAUUUAAUUGUUAUUGUCUGUCCCUCCUCUAGGAAAUGAGCUUCAUGAGGACAAGGAUGGGGAUUUGAUUGUUCACGGCUGUGUUUGCACUGCCCUGGAAGUGCCUGGUUGUUGAUUUAAAAAUAUUUGUUGGGGCCGGCCCGGUGGUGCAGCAGUUAAGUGCGCAUGUUCCACUUCGGUGGCCUGGGUUUCGCCGGGUUGGCAUCCCAGGUGCGGUCAUGGCAUCACUUGGCAAGCCAUGCCCUGUGUCUUUCAUUUGGAGAAGAGGAGAGCUCACUGUCGCCUGUGCCGUCUCUGAGGUUUGCUUCUUCUCGCAACCCCUCUCCCAGCCCCUUGAUGUCAACACUCUAGGAAACCGAAAAGUGGAAAGAUUUUCUUCUGCUGCCUAUUUCUCAGUUUUGUGAAUAAAAUCAUGUCUUAUUUGA
Molecule: long non-coding RNA, 3049 nt
Organism: Equus caballus (horse)
Lineage: Eukaryota; Metazoa; Chordata; Mammalia; Perissodactyla; Equidae
Source: RefSeq, a predicted model, not a curated record